Molecule: ribosomal RNA, 329 nt
Filed under: Rhipicephalus sanguineus (brown dog tick)
Lineage: Eukaryota; Metazoa; Arthropoda; Arachnida; Ixodida; Ixodidae
Description: partial small subunit ribosomal RNA
Source: RNAcentral
AGCUUAACAUUGUAAGUAAAUAAUAAUUAUGAAAGCAAAAAAUUAUGGCGGUAUUUUAAGCUUUUCAGAGGAAUUUGCUCUUUAAUGGAUAAAACACCAAAAUCUUACUUAGAUUUGUGAUUUCAAUUUGUAUACCACUAUUAAAACAAUUUAUAACUUUAAUUGUUUAAAUUUACAAAACUAAAAUAUAUUAAGUCAAGGUGCAGUAAAAAUUUAAGGAUGAAGUGAAUUACAUUACUUUUUAGUGAGAUAAGUUUAUAACAAUAUUUAGAAUUUGAAAGUAAAAUUAAAAUAGGAUGUUAAUUUGAAUUAAGCUCUAAAAUAUGUAC